Unclassified non-coding RNA from Cavia porcellus (domestic guinea pig), 96 nucleotides. It matches the Rfam family "Y RNA". Rfam says of the family: Y RNAs are components of the Ro ribonucleoprotein particle (Ro RNP), in association with Ro60 and La proteins. The Y RNAs and Ro60 and La proteins are well conserved, but the function of the Ro RNP is not known. In humans the RNA component can be one of four small RNAs -- hY1, hY3, hY4 and hY5. The record is from Ensembl. NCBI's taxonomy places the organism in Eukaryota, Metazoa, Chordata, Mammalia, Rodentia, Caviidae.
GGCUGGUCCGAUGGCAGUGGGUUAUCAGAACUUAUUAACAUUAGUGUCACUAAAGUUGAUAACCACCCCCCCACUGCUAAAUUUGACUGGCUUAAA